GGCCAUUACCAAUCUACAUAUAUUGAAAUGAAAAAGAAAAAAAAGAAUGAAGACAAAAAUGACAUUGCAGAUCUGAAUUUGGACAGCUAUCGAGUACAUAUGAUAAACUAUUGGUUGCCAUUGACCACUACACAAUACAGAUCUGUUCAAAGAGUAUGUUAACAAACUAACUAGGUCCAUAUCCCACUUGGAAAUUAAUCAACACACUUCAAUAUCUGCAUUUAGUUCCAUCAAAUACAUUAUGUUGCAAGAAAUUUGGAGGAACUCCCAAAAGUUGGUUGCAUAUAAAAUUCAAAAUCUGAACAGCGUCGGCAGCAUGUGGUAUGUGCAGGUGCAGCGACUUCGGCCUACACUUUGGCCUCGAUCCAGUCUGAAUUUCCUAAAUCUCCAAGCAUACAAGUUGCAGAGCCUUAUUCUAGCUUUCUGUAUCGUAUUUAUACUUCACAUAUGGAGUUCAGAGGAAAGAGUUAUGCCUGUCUUACGAAGAGGUGUCUAAGCUAUUCGAAAAAUUGCCAAAAUAACUUCAUUUUGAAUUUGACUCCUGUGUUUGUUCCUAAAUCGAAAUAUAACAAUAAUGAGGACACUUAAGCACCAAAUAAACAGAAACGACAUGUUAAGCACUGUGGAUGGUAACACUCAUACAUUUAAUACACCUGCAAGUCAUCGAGCUCCCAAAGAAGUAUCAACUCGUCUACGAUUAGUACAUGAAAAUAUUUGCAUCCCAAUUAUGUUUCGCAUCUCAAAUUCAAAAUUACAGGUUUAUUUGCCAAAUAAGGGUCUUUUAGAUGAUAUAGUAGGAAAUAAAAAAGUGUUACGAUUUGGCAAACAUCCAACCAAACUAGGAAAAACAAAUUUGAACAAACAUUAUGGGACACUAUGGCUGUUGUGUGGAUCUUAUUUCGACUUACAGACUAUGAAAAUAAAAUACUUCAAUUCAAAGAAACAAAGCUAAUUGAACAAGAAAAGAACACCCCUGAUAUUCCUCUGUCCAACUAAUAGGCUAUUCCGUUCGGGACUUUUAUCAAUUAUAAUGUUGUUCAUCACAGAACACCACACAACACACACACACACACUAUCUUAAUCGCAACCGCAAAUAAUUUUAUAAAUUUCAUCGUUGCGUAAGUAUAUAUGCAGGAGAUUACAUUAAAAAAAAUUAGAACAAGAACAGUUCAAAGCAAUGCAAUCAAAACAAACAGGGGAAAGAGGAAAAAAAAAAAUCAACCCGACUUUGAUCAAUUCACCAACCAAUGUAUUUCUAGAAAGCUACGAGUUCAAAAAUCAAAGAAAAAAUGUUCACGCAUACGAACAUAAGUAUCUGAUACUACAAAAAACAGAAUUGAAUGAGAUAUUUGCAUAAAUCAAAAGGAAGAUCCGAUAAAAAAAGUAACUUUAUGAGAUAUAAUUCGCAUCAUAAACUCACAACUACCCAAAGAAGAUGAUGCUCAAUCUUCAUCCGGAAGAACGAUGAGAGAGGGAGACGAAUGCAGGAAUGAACAAAACAUGAAGUU
This 1508-nucleotide long non-coding RNA is filed under the name Erythranthe guttata (spotted monkey flower). Its description in RNAcentral is "long non-coding RNA (EGUT_LNC002008)". The record is from RNAcentral. Lineage: Eukaryota; Viridiplantae; Streptophyta; Magnoliopsida; Lamiales; Phrymaceae.